CCUACGGGUGGCAGCAGUGGGGAAUUUUGCGCAAUGCUCGUAAGAGUGACGCAGCGACGCCGCGUGAAUGACGAAGGCCUUCGGGUCGUAAAGUUCUUUCGACAGGGAAGAAAAUGCCUAUAAGUAACUGUGUAUGUAUUGACGGUACCUGUAUAAGCAGCCCCGGCUAACUCCGUGCCAGCAGCCGCGGUAAUACGGAGGGGGCGAGCGUUGUUCGGAGUGACUGGGCGUAAAGAGCACGUAGGCGGUGUUGUAAGUCAUUAGUCAAAGACUAGAGCUCAACUUUAGUAAGGCUAGUGAUACUAUAAUACUAGAGUAUCAGAGAGGAUUGCAGAAUUCCUGGUGUAGCGGUGAAAUGCGUAGAUAUCAGGAGGAACAUCGGUGGCGUAAGCGCUUUACUGGGCCGUAAUUGACGCUGAGGGACGAAAGCCAGGGUAGCAAAUGGGAUUAGAUACCCCAGUAGUC
Molecule: ribosomal RNA, 465 nt
Filed under: uncultured bacterium
Lineage: Bacteria
Description: partial 16S ribosomal RNA
Rfam family: Bacterial small subunit ribosomal RNA
Source: RNAcentral